AUGCCUUACGCAAAAGAUGCAAUAGCUCAUGCCGAACAACAGAGUAAAUAUUUCAUGGUCAUGGCACUUAAAGGACUACCAUCAGAACUCGAAUACGUUCGUAACCAGAUUUUAUCAGGUACUACUGUUCCUAACUAUGAUACAGUUAGUGAACAAUUGUUGCGCUUGUCUACACCUCAUGCGUUUGGCCCGGUUUCUCCUUCAUCUAUUGUUAUUCCAACACCAGGUGACACUGCUGCUCUUGCAUCUCUUGGCAACAAUCAGAAUCGCCUUCGAGGAGGGUCAUCCAACUCCAAACCUCGUCCUAAGUGUAACCAUUGUAACCGAAUUGGACAUACUAUCGAUCGUUGCUGGAAGUUGCAAGGCAAACCUCCACGGCAGGUAA
This is a non-coding RNA of Vicia faba (fava bean), 385 nucleotides long. Lineage: Eukaryota; Viridiplantae; Streptophyta; Magnoliopsida; Fabales; Fabaceae. The record is from the annotation of a GenBank genome assembly.